AACGCUGGCGGCAGGCCUAACACAUGCAAGUCGAGCGCCCCUCCUUCAAGCGAGCUUGGAGGAUUGCGAUCGAGCGAAGCCGAAGGGCUCGCUUGAUGGAGGGGAGCGGCAGACGGGAGAGUAACACGUGGGAACGUACCCUUUGGUUCGGAACAACCCAGGGAAACUUGGGCUAAUACCGGAUAAGCCCUUACGGGGAAAGAUUUAUCGCCGAAGGAUCGGCCCGCGUCUGAUUAGCUAGUUGGUGGGGUAAUGGCCCACCAAGGCGACGAUCAGUAGCUGGUCUGAGAGGAUGAUCAGCCUCACUGGGACUGAGACACGGCCCAGACUCCUACGGGAGGCAGCAGUGGGGAAUAUUGGACAAUGGGCGCAAGCCUGAUCCAGCCAUGCCGCGUGGGUGAUGAAGGCCCUAGGGUUGUAAAGCCCUUUCGGCGGGGAAGAUAAUGACGGUACCCGCAGAAGAAGCCCCGGCUAACUUCGUGCCAGCAGCCGCGGUAAUACGAAGGGGGCUAGCGUUGCUCGGAAUCACUGGGCGUAAAGCGCACGUAGGCGGAUUGUUAAGUCAGGGGUGAAAUCC
Molecule: ribosomal RNA, 577 nt
Filed under: uncultured bacterium
Lineage: Bacteria
Description: bacterial SSU rRNA
Rfam family: Bacterial small subunit ribosomal RNA
Source: RNAcentral